ACAGUAGUGGUUCAGUGGUAGAAUUCUUGUCUUCCAUACAGGAGACCCAGUUGGACUCCUGGCUGUUAUA
RNAcentral lists this transfer RNA (70 nucleotides) under Loxodonta africana (African savanna elephant). It matches the Rfam family "tRNA". Rfam says of the family: Transfer RNA (tRNA) molecules are approximately 80 nucleotides in length. Their secondary structure includes four short double-helical elements and three loops (D, anti-codon, and T loops). Further hydrogen bonds mediate the characteristic L-shaped molecular structure. tRNAs have two regions of fundamental functional importance: the anti-codon, which is responsible for specific mRNA codon recognition, and the 3' end, to which the tRNAs corresponding amino acid is attached (by aminoacyl-tRNA synthetases). tRNAs cope with the degeneracy of the genetic code in two manners: having more than one tRNA (with a specific anti-codon) for a particular amino acid; and 'wobble' base-pairing, i.e. permitting non-standard base-pairing at the 3rd anti-codon position. Lineage: Eukaryota; Metazoa; Chordata; Mammalia; Proboscidea; Elephantidae. The record is from Rfam by way of RNAcentral.